AUUAUACAAGUGAAAAAUUAUAUCAAUAUAAUUUCCAAGUUACAGCAGUUAGUGUUUACCAAACACUUUAGUGCUGUAACUUUUAAGUUACAGCUGCCCAACCUCAAUCUCAAACACACGCAUACUUUUACUAUAUUUAUAUAUAUAUAUGUUAUUGUUAUUCCUUCCAUAUGAAUGUAUACAUCUACUGUGAUGCUUAUACAAGUGUGGGUCAGCAGAUACUUAUGCAGGUAUCCAUUGGAUGUUUAGUAUAUACCAAACCUCCCCAUAACUCGCAGUGUGUUUUAAUUUGUAAUAAUAAACCUGCCUGCAACUCGCAAAAUUACCCGUAAUUGGCGAGUUUUAACUGGUGGGUUUGGGCACCUUUGCUAGACACCAUUGUCAUCCCAACAUGUUGGACUUUAUCAUGUUGAUUUAUUUGAAUUUAUGUUGUUAUUUAUUAUUUAUGAAUUUAUGUACUCAUGAUUGUUGUUGUAGUAAUAAUAUAUUACUAUUAUAUAAAUUUUUUUUGUUGAAUGUAUAAGAUAAAAUUAAUCUAACCAAAAAGACCAAACGAUCAAAUUGAACUAAGCUAAACUGAAUUACUUUGGAGUUUUUUGGAGUACCCUACUGGAGCUUUUUGGAGUUUGUCACAGAAUAUAGAUUAAUCAAAAAAUUAGAGUCGUGGUAUUUUCACCCCUCAAUUUUUGUAAACCCACC
Molecule: long non-coding RNA, 699 nt
Filed under: Citrus x clementina
Lineage: Eukaryota; Viridiplantae; Streptophyta; Magnoliopsida; Sapindales; Rutaceae
Description: Citrus clementina (C. clementina) long non-coding RNA (CCLE_LNC003377)
Source: RNAcentral